Molecule: antisense RNA, 75 nt
Filed under: Streptomyces sparsogenes DSM 40356
Lineage: Bacteria; Bacillati; Actinomycetota; Actinomycetes; Kitasatosporales; Streptomycetaceae
Description: ASpks TB sRNA
Rfam family: ASpks TB sRNA
Source: Rfam by way of RNAcentral
CUUCACCGAGCCGAGCCACAGCGGCCGGUCCCCGGUGUGUUCCCGGCCGUAGGUGGCCAGCAGUGCCUCGGCCUC